ACAAAGCUUAGCUGAAGUUAUAGAGAUUGGCAUAGAUGACAAUGGCUUAAUAGACAUGGAAUCUCUACAGAAACAACUUCACAUUUAUAGAAAUGCCAAUCGUCCAAUUUUAGGGUCGUUUUCUGCUUGUAGUAAUGUGACUGGGAUUGAGUCAGAUACUCGAGGAAUUGCCAGGCUUCUUCACCAAUAUGGAGGUUUUGUGUGCUUUGAUUUUGCAGCAAGGUACCAACUCAUAACUUCAUUGUUUAAUUAUUUUUUUUUAUACAUUGCUGCUGGAUGUUUUGGUGUUGAACAUUUUGUUUUGUGUGAUUAUUUAUCUAUAAAGUGGGCCUUAUGUGGAGAUUGACAUGAGAUCUGGG
Molecule: unclassified non-coding RNA, 359 nt
Filed under: Hevea brasiliensis (rubber tree)
Lineage: Eukaryota; Viridiplantae; Streptophyta; Magnoliopsida; Malpighiales; Euphorbiaceae
Source: RNAcentral